UAGGGAAUCUUCGGCAAUGGACGAAAGUCUGACCGAGCAACGCCGCGUGAGUGAAGAAGGUUUUCGGAUCGUAAAACUCUGUUGUUAGAGAAGAACAAGGACGUUAGUAACUGAACGUCCCCUGACGGUAUCUAACCAGAAAGCCACGGCUAACUACGUGCCAGCAGCCGCGGUAAUACGUAGGUGGCAAGCGUUGUCCGGAUUUAUUGGGCGUAAAGCGAGCGCAGGCGGUUUCUUAAGUCUGAUGUGAAAGCCCCCGGCUCAACCGGGGAGGGUCAUUGGAAACUGGGAGACUUGAGAGCAGAAGAGGAGAGUGGAAUUCCAUGUGUAGCGAUGAAAUGCGUAGAUAUAUGGAGGAACACCCGUGGCGAAGGCGGCUCUCUGGUCUGUAACUGACGCUGAGGCUCGAAAGCGUGGGGAGCAAACAGG
RNAcentral lists this ribosomal RNA (429 nucleotides) under Chloroflexota bacterium. Its description in RNAcentral is "Chloroflexi bacterium partial 16S ribosomal RNA". It matches the Rfam family "Bacterial small subunit ribosomal RNA", at positions 355 to 776 of the family's 1533-position model. The record is from RNAcentral. Lineage: Bacteria; Bacillati; Chloroflexota.